RNAcentral lists this ribosomal RNA (472 nucleotides) under uncultured organism. Its description in RNAcentral is "partial 16S ribosomal RNA". It matches the Rfam family "Bacterial small subunit ribosomal RNA", at positions 333 to 797 of the family's 1533-position model. The record is from RNAcentral.
ACACUCCUCGGGAGGCAGCAGUGGGGAAUAUUGCACAAUGGGCGCAAGCCUGAUGCAGCCAUGCCGCGUGUGUGAAGAAGGCCUUCGGGUUGUAAAGCACUUUCAGCGGGGAGGAAGGCGAUACGGUUAAUAACCGUGUUGAUUGACGUUACCCGCAGAAGAAGCACCGGCUAACUCCGUGCCAGCAGCCGCGGUAAUACGGAGGGUGCAAGCGUUAAUCGGAAUUACUGGGCGUAAAGCGCACGCAGGCGGUCUGUCAAGUCGGAUGUGAAAUCCCCGGGCUCAACCUGGGAACUGCAUUCGAAACUGGCAGGCUUGAGUCUUGUAGAGGGGGGUAGAAUUCCAGGUGUAGCGGUGAAAUGCGUAGAGAUCUGGAGGAAUACCGGUGGCGAAGGCGGCCCCCUGGACAAAGACUGACGCUCAGGUGCGAAAGCGUGGGGAGCAAACAGGAUUAGAAACCCGAGUAGUCCCA